CGGAAUUACUGGGCGUAAAGCGAGCGCAGACGAUUACUUAAGCAGGAUGUGAAAUCCCCGGGCUCAACCUGGGAACUGCGUUCUGAACUGGGUGACUAGAGUGUGUCAGAGGGAGGUAGAAUUCCACGUGUAGCAGUGAAAUGCGUAGGGAUGUGGAGGAAUACCGAUGGCGAAGGCAGCCUCCUGGGAUAACACUGACGUUCAUGCUCGAAAGCGUGGGUAGCAAACAGGAUUAGAUACCCUGGUAGUCAAGGGCG
Molecule: ribosomal RNA, 257 nt
Filed under: uncultured Neisseriales bacterium
Lineage: Bacteria; Pseudomonadati; Pseudomonadota; Betaproteobacteria; Neisseriales
Description: partial 16S ribosomal RNA
Rfam family: Bacterial small subunit ribosomal RNA
Source: RNAcentral